UCCCGGUGUUUUGCAGCCAGUUUGGGGUACCUGGAAUGGAGGAUGCAGUGUUCUGUGAAUCAGUAGACUUGGAGCUCCUUUAAGGAGUCUUUCAUUUUGAAGCCACAAUAAUACAAGAGGCAGGCUGGAGUUAGAACGAUUGGCCUUGAGACUGAAGGAGGUAAACUUGCUCAUGUGGGAACCCAGGGCUUGGACUCAUUAGCCCCAUCAAAAUGAAAAAAAUCAACUCAAAUAAAUAUUAUUUCAUAAGCA
Homo sapiens (human) is the source of this 252-nucleotide long non-coding RNA. RefSeq lists it as uncharacterized. The record is from RefSeq and is a predicted model, not a curated record. The transcript is spliced from 2 exons. NCBI's taxonomy places the organism in Eukaryota, Metazoa, Chordata, Mammalia, Primates, Hominidae.